AGAAUCAACGCUGGCGGCGUGCCUCAGACAUGCAAGUCGAACGCGAAAGUCCCCUUCGGGGGACAAGUAGAGUGGCGCACGGGUGAGUAACACGUAGGUAAUCUACCUUCGGAUGGGGAAUAACAACCGGAAACGGUUGCUAAUACCGCAUAAUGCAGCGGCACCUAAUGGUGACAGUUGUUAUAGCGGGGGAUCGAAAGACCUCGCGUCUGAAGAGGAGCCUGCGGCGGAUUAGCUAGUUGGUAGGUAACGGCCUACCAAGGCGACGAUCCGUA
Molecule: ribosomal RNA, 275 nt
Filed under: uncultured soil bacterium
Lineage: Bacteria
Description: partial 16S ribosomal RNA
Rfam family: Bacterial small subunit ribosomal RNA
Source: RNAcentral